Molecule: ribosomal RNA, 427 nt
Filed under: uncultured bacterium
Lineage: Bacteria
Description: partial 16S ribosomal RNA
Rfam family: Bacterial small subunit ribosomal RNA
Source: RNAcentral
UGGGGAAUAUUGCACAAUGGGCGCAAGCCUGAUGCAGCCAUGCCGCGUGUAUGAAGAAGGCCUUCGGGUUGUAAAGUACUUUCAGCGAGGAGGAAGGCGGUAAGGUUAAUAACCGUAUCGAUUGACGUUACUCGCAGAAGAAGCACCGGCUAACUCCGUGCCAGCAGCCGCGGUAAUACGGAGGGUGCAAGCGUUAAUCGGAAUUACUGGGCGUAAAGCGCACGCAGGCGGUCUGUCAAGUCGGAUGUGAAAUCCCCGGGCUCAACCUGGGAACUGCAUUCGAAACUGGCAGGCUAGAGUCUUGUAGAGGGGGGUAGAAUUCCAGGUGUAGCGGUGAAAUGCGUAGAGAUCUGGAGGAAUACCGGUGGCGAAGGCGGCCCCCUGGACAAAGACUGACGCUCAGGUGCGAAAGCGUGGGGAGCAAACA